GAUGAACGCUGGCGGCGUGCCUAAUACAUGCAAGUCGAGCGAACAGAUGAGGAGCUUGCUCCUCUGACGUUAGCGGCGGACGGGUGGGUAACACGUGGAUAACCUACCUAUAAGACUGGGAUAACUUCGGGAAACCGGAGCUAAUACCGGAUAAUAUAUUGAACCGCAUGGUUCAAUAGUGAAAGACGGUUUUGCUGUCACUUAUAGAUGGAUCCGCGCCGCAUUAGCUAGUUGGUAAGGUAACGGCUUACCAAGGCAACGAUGCGUAGCCGACCUGAGAGGGUGAUCGGCCACACUGGAACUGAGACACGGUCCAGACUCCUACGGGAGGCAGCAGUAGGGAAUCUUCCGCAAUGGGCGAAAGCCUGACGGAGCAACGCCGCGUGAGUGAUGAAGGUCUUCGGAUCGUAAAACUCUGUUAUUAGGGAAGAACAAAUGUGUAAGUAACUUUGCACGUCUUGACGGUACCUAAUCAGAAAGCCACGGCUAACUACGUG
RNAcentral lists this ribosomal RNA (497 nucleotides) under uncultured bacterium. Its description in RNAcentral is "partial 16S ribosomal RNA". It matches the Rfam family "Bacterial small subunit ribosomal RNA", at positions 28 to 507 of the family's 1533-position model. The record is from RNAcentral.